Long non-coding RNA from Hippocampus zosterae (dwarf seahorse), 932 nucleotides. RefSeq lists it as uncharacterized. Lineage: Eukaryota; Metazoa; Chordata; Actinopteri; Syngnathiformes; Syngnathidae. The transcript has 2 exons. The record is from RefSeq and is a predicted model, not a curated record.
GGAACACAUCAUUCCCCCAUGCCCGUGCGCCUUCAUUCCAACAUCUGGCGAGCGUGGAGACAAGUUGGCCAGAUGCCUCGAAUGACCGAAAGAUGGCAGCUAGUUUGGAGGCAUCAGCUGCUCGUGUCGCCGUGUCCCGAAUAAAGCAAGCUCAUUCAGAGAGCGAGCCGGGGAAGCGGUCGACCUGAAAUGGGAGGAGGCGCGCAAUCUACUACAUGAACCCGAUGAACCCAUCCACCCCCUCCCGUCCUGAGGAUACCUCUGUUCAAGAUUCACACAGUCACUGUGGGAAAGAUGGAGCUCUUGCACCUGACAUCAUACGGACCUCCUGUUGUGAUUUUAAAUUAAUAUGCGGAUACAUGAUAGCGGCUAAAUACAAUAAAUACUAAAUCAAAUCGAAAAUAAUAACCCUCCCAUACGUGGUUAGCUUAAUGUUGAAGCCUGCACUUUUAUAAAACAAGUAACCAUCAUGAUCACAUAUGUGUCGUCUGCUACUUUGUGUGAGGAGGCGGGCGGGGGGAGAUACAGCAGAAUGUUCAAGUUAUCCUUGACUGAUUAAAAUGAGUUCUAUCAUUUACAUUGUUUUUUUUUGUAUGUGUAAAUACAUAAAGGAGGCUACAUGAUUGAUUUCAUGAGUCCAGAAAAAUCCAGAAUUUUCAAGAGAUGCUGAAUUCAUUACGUUUUGUACACAAAUUCCCAUGACACAUUCAGCAGAUGUGUAUUUUUCUUUUAUUUGUUAAACCUAAACCCUUUCAAGGACAGCGGUUACUGCAGUGGACAGUUUAUCAGCAUAUCAGGUUAUUAUUAUUGGUGCAUGAAAGAGUUUAAAUGCCUUAAUGCAAGCAAGGCUUCCAACGCUUAUGCUCUCUCAUCACCAUUCGGUGCAAAUCACAUAGCAAACAUCCUGUCUGACUCACGCUUAGCACAUGAUU